Molecule: long non-coding RNA, 1342 nt
Organism: Hydra vulgaris (swiftwater hydra)
Lineage: Eukaryota; Metazoa; Cnidaria; Hydrozoa; Anthoathecata; Hydridae
Source: RefSeq, a predicted model, not a curated record
UUAUAGCAUAACUUUUAUUAACCAUUAAAGAAAUAUAAAUAGAUAAAUGUAUUUCUUACUUAUUUAAUUAUUACUUGUCCUAUAUGGAUUUCCCAUUUGCUGUAAUAUUAAUUUUUAAAUUUUAGUAUCUACACCUGGUAAGUUAAACAACUCUUACUUUUUAAUGUGCAAACUUUACAAUAUGUUUAACUUUAGUUCCUUAGUCAUGUGUUGCAACUAGUAAUUAAAAAAAACUAUUACAUUUAAUGUGUAUACAUUUCUCGUUAUUUGCAAUAUAGAUUUUUUGUUACAACUUUGUAAUUUUAGUAUCUACCUCUUGUGCUACACCUGGUAAAUUAAACAACUCUUUUUAAUGCGCACAAAUUUCUUAUUGAUUGCAAUUAACAUCUUCAGCUGUCACGCCAAUUCCAUCUGCACCACCUUCAAACGGUAAAUUUAUGAAUCUGGAAUGUCUCUGAUUGAUUAUUGAGUUCAUCUUAUUCCUAUUUAUAUAAUCUAUUUAAUACUUUUGUGUUUUGUUAUCUCUUCAAGUGCUAUAAAAGGAGAAUCAGAAGCUUAUACAUGUUUAAAUUUUUAUUCUGAUUAACUUUUAUUUAAAAUUUCAUUGAUUCAUUAAUCAUUCAUUAUAUUUAUUCAGACAAACUGUCUUAGUAAGUAUUUAUUUUAAUUGCAUGAAUUACAAAUACAUUCAUAUUUUAUUUGUUUUUAAAGCUUAUAUAUGAAGCUUAUAGGUCAUUUUGAACCUAAAAUUAAAAUCAUUUACUAAAAGCCAAGCCAGAGUAAUUACUAUGUUUCAAAACAUUUUUUUAUUUUUUUUUUAAAUUAGGUUGGUGGGUUAAAUAUGAUCAUUUAAAUGAGAAAGUGUAUACUAGUGCAACUUGUAAUCUGGGUGUUAUUACAUCACAACCACAUCUAUGGCCAACUCUAAGAUCACUUUAUUUUGUUUGGCAGUGUUUUGGAAUCAAGUUAUGGCAAUAUUUUGUGUAUAAAAUAUAACAAUAACAUUAAAAAAGUGCUUAUUUCUGACAAAAACUUGUAUUUUCUUAAGGGUUAGAUGGUGUUUUAUUACCCCCUUUAGCUUCCAAAAUACGCCCUACAUCCAGGCACCAAAAUGAACUUGUAGCCCAUUAGUGCACCUAUCUUGUGAUACCAAGAUAUAGGUAUUUGGAUAAAAAUUGACAAAGUUAAAAUAAUUUAAGUGAAAAAAAUAAUUAUUUUGACCACAGUUUCUUCAACAAUUCCAUAUAUCUAAAAUUUGCAACUGAAAAUGUUAUAACUUUUUUUAGAAUUGUUCGUUUUUAAUAAUUUUUUCAUCUUUAAAAUACUGUAUUGAAGGCGUUUC